This 366-nucleotide ribosomal RNA is filed under the name Triticum aestivum (bread wheat). RNAcentral describes it as "partial small subunit ribosomal RNA". Lineage: Eukaryota; Viridiplantae; Streptophyta; Magnoliopsida; Poales; Poaceae. The record is from RNAcentral.
AUGGAGGUGGAGGCUCACCAUUACAGUCCUAUAAUGGAUGCUAUCCUCAUGGAAAUCAGGAUCCGACCAAUCUUUGGGCAAAGAGUAGACGAGAGCGCCGUGGAGGGCAACAUCGAGAAGCUAAAGAAGGUGCUGGAGGUGUAUGAGUCGAGGCAGUCGAGCUCCAGGUACCUGGCUGGUGAUUUCAUCAGCCUCGCGGACCUCAACCAUGUGUCCACCAUUUUGUGCCUAGGGAUCACUCCGUACAGGUCAGUUCUCGACGCGUACCCACGUGUAAGGGCAUGGUGGGAUUGCCUGAGGGCCAGGCCGGCGGUGAGGAGGGUGUCUGACCUAAUGAAUACGUCCGUGAAGAAUGAUCUGAAAUGA